Molecule: ribosomal RNA, 253 nt
Filed under: uncultured bacterium
Lineage: Bacteria
Description: partial 16S ribosomal RNA
Rfam family: Bacterial small subunit ribosomal RNA
Source: RNAcentral
UACGUAGGGGGCAAGCGUUAAUCGGAAUUACUGGGCGUAAAGCGUGCGCAGGCGGCUUUGCAAGACAGAUGUGAAAUCCCCGGGCUUAACCUGGGAACUGCAUUUGUGACUGCAUGGCUGGAGUGCGGCAGAGGGGGAUGGAAUUCCGCGUGUAGCAGUGAAAUGCGUAGAUAUGCGGAGGAACACCGAUGGCGAAGGCAAUCCCCUGGGCCUGCACUGACGCUCAUGCACGAAAGCGUGGGGAGCAAACAGG